Cannabis sativa is the source of this 90-nucleotide small nucleolar RNA. RefSeq annotates it as small nucleolar RNA snR60/Z15/Z230/Z193/J17. The transcript has a single exon. Lineage: Eukaryota; Viridiplantae; Streptophyta; Magnoliopsida; Rosales; Cannabaceae. The record is from RefSeq and is a predicted model, not a curated record.
UAUGGUCGUAUGAUGAUUUUUAAUGCAUAGUUCAGAUGAAUCUCUGUGAUUAUUUCAUUUUUAGUCUUUCGCUCCUAUCUGACGACCUAU